This is a long non-coding RNA of Cavia porcellus (domestic guinea pig), 1745 nucleotides long. RefSeq lists it as uncharacterized. The record is from RefSeq and is a predicted model, not a curated record. Lineage: Eukaryota; Metazoa; Chordata; Mammalia; Rodentia; Caviidae. The transcript is spliced from 3 exons.
UUUUCUGUGGAGUGGUUUUAUUCCAGGCAUUCACUGCAGGUUGAUGCAAGUUCCCUGCCAACUCAGCUCUCUCUUCGGCUCGCCGACUCCUAAACUCAGUAUGACUGCAUUUCCAGUGGUUCCAAGCAGCAGGAUUUUGGGCAACUCUAUAUGAGGUACAUAGAAGAUGAAUGUGGGCAUAUGCUUCAGAAAUAAGUACGUGCGGAAGAGAAUUUUCUUUGAUUACUACAAAACAGAGAGCAAUAUGGUGACUGGCAAAAGGAAAAUUGCUAAGUGAACUGAAGAUCAUUAAAUGUUUUAAAUUACCCACAAUUAUUUCACAACAAGUUCAAAGACUGCAGAAGGUUGGUGGUUGUGAGAAAACUGAAAGGACUUCAUGGUUUGAUCACCUUGUUUAGAACCAGGCGAUGCUUCGUUACAGAGUAUUUCAAAUGAAGGAUAUCUCAAAUGAAAGAGUUUCCUCCCUCUGCUUGCAAGGCUCCUAGAAGAUACACUUGGAAUGAUGAUGUAUAUGAAUACUGUGGAAAGAUUUGCAUAGGAAGACACAGAGCACAGCAUCCUGCGAGCAUAACUUUAGAACACCUCACAUGGUUGAGAGAGCCACAGACUGUGGGAAGAACUCAGCCUUAACCUGAAGACUUGAAGACAAGAAGGAAAUGGCAAGGUACUGAACAAAGGAAAGUGGGAAGUCAGCAGCCAAAUCAAUCAUCUGGAUAAGCACGAAACCAAAACAAAGAUGUGAGCAUGUACCAAGAUGUCGAGAGAGCCACUUGUGUAAUUUUUUUUAAAAAAGCUAAAAAAAGAGUAAGGCAUAUUCUGAUUUUGAUUUUGUAAAUGCCUAUUUUAUAAAUACAUGCAAGUAUCUUUUUGCAGUGGAAUUAUGGAUCAUAAGUUAAUUAUGUGCUCUAGUUUACUUUCACUAUUAAAAUUAUUUCAUAUAGAGGGCAACCCACUCGGGACUCUUUCUGUCUGUCUCCCAGACAGAAGCUUGCUUUCUCUCAAUAAAUAUAUUCUGCUCUUAAAUAAAUUAUUUCGUGGAUAGAUAGAUGGAUAUAAGCAUAGAAAUAUCUUAAAAUAAGAACUAACAUCACCGUUAGCAACUGAGUAAUAAAAGCUGACUCUCACAGCCCUGUGACAGGCAAGGCUCAGGAGAGUAUGUUACUUCAGGUGGGCUCCUGGAGGGACCCCAGAGGGACUGAUGUCUGCAUACUUUCCCGUGGGUUUGAAGACUCGCAUUGAAUGGGGUAGAAGUAACUUCUCUAAUAUGAUGGCUACAGCCUAGUAAUAUGCAAAUUAUUCCUCUUUUAGCUCCUAAUACUUACGAUGCCUGUAUUCUACUUUUCGUAUUUCUUAUGGAUUGUAUCCAGACGUACCUUAAAAGCUGCAUGCAUUGAGAAGUGGGGGUUUUCCAAGGUGGGUAGAUCUCCAGGAUGUGUGAAGAUGGAUUCUGUGGGGGUGAGAACUGAAUUAGUCUACUGAUUGGUUUAACAUAGUUGUGGGUGUGGACAAUGGGAAGACCCACCCUGGGUGCUAGUGGCACCGACCAGUUGGCUGGUAGGGACUGGAAUAAAAAGGGAAAGAGAAGUUUGUUGCUGCUGGUGCUGUUUUGUUGCUUUCUGUCUGCCCUGCCGGGAACUGUUUCUCCUCUAUGAUGCCCCUCUGUUUUGCUCUCUUGCUUUAGAAACAGCUGACUAUGAAUGGAAACCUUUAUAAAUUCUAAGCUAAAAUAAAUUUUUCUUCUGUAA